UAGGGAAUCUUCGGCAAUGGACGAAAGUCUGACCGAGCAACGCCGCGUGAGUGAAGAAGGUUUUCGGAUCGUAAAACUCUGUUGGUAGAGAAGAACGUUGGUGAGAGUGGAAAGCUCAUCAAGUGACGGUAACUACCCAGAAAGGGACGGCUAACUACGUGCCAA
RNAcentral lists this ribosomal RNA (165 nucleotides) under uncultured bacterium. Its description in RNAcentral is "partial 16S ribosomal RNA". It matches the Rfam family "Bacterial small subunit ribosomal RNA", at positions 355 to 511 of the family's 1533-position model. The record is from RNAcentral.